RNAcentral lists this long non-coding RNA (689 nucleotides) under Prunus persica (peach). RNAcentral describes it as "long non-coding RNA (PPER_LNC000398)". The record is from RNAcentral. Lineage: Eukaryota; Viridiplantae; Streptophyta; Magnoliopsida; Rosales; Rosaceae.
GGCAAAAGAUUUGUUGGCCUUUCCUUAGCAGAUAGGGGUGUGGAUGUGUGGAGGAAAAUAGUUUUUGGCCCCUUAAGAGGCUCCAAAAGAAGCUUGGAUUAGCAAUAUAAGGUAUAUAAAAUUUCUUAGUCUUUCUUUCUUUCUCCCCCAACUUAGUACAAAGAAAGAGAAUAUAUAUUUAUGAUGUGCACACAUACAUGUAAGGAAAUAAACUGUGGUUUUAAUGCUUAGUCAAGGUAAUAUAGAACAAGAAAGUCAUGGCUUGAAUUUCUUCUCCCUUUUUUUUUUUUUUUGGAAACUUAGAUUCCUUUACUCUCACUGUACUAAUCUGCUCUCUUCUCACUUCUGUCAAGAUUCUGUCAAAACACAAAAAGAUAUUACUUUAGACUAUGAUGGUUCGAAGAAAGUGAUCUUGGGGUCUUGCUUCAAAAGAAACAUUAUAUAAUUGUGUGAAGAAGGUACAACUCGACAAUCUUCGAUGAAAAUAGAUGCUAAACUCGUAUUUAAUUUUUGUAUUUUUCAUUGCGUGGACCGAUAAUUGAGUUGUAAGAUGCAUGUUUAAUAUAUAUAUAGACAUUAAUAGUGAGAUGUAAUUAUGUGCAACGAAUGCUUUGUGGAGAAAAGGACAUUAUAUUGUACUUUUGGGACCACAAGAUAUGGUGUCUUGUGUGUAGAGAUUUGAGAGGCAC